GGCCUUGACAUACUAAGAACUUUCCAGAGAUGGAUUGGUGCCUUCGGGAACUUAGAUACAGGUGCUGCAUGGCUGUCGUCAGCUCGUGUCGUGAGAUGUUGGGUUAAGUCCGCAACGAGCGCAACCCUUUUCCUUAUUUGCCAGCGGGUCAUGCCGGGAACUUUAAGGAUACUGCCAGUGACAAACUGGAGGAAGGCGGGGACGACGUCAAGUCAUCAUGGCCCUUACGGCCAGGGCUACACACGUGCUACAAUGGUCGGUACAAAGGGUUGCUACCUCGCGAGGGGAUGCUAAUCUCAAAAAGCCGAUCGUAGUCCGGAUCGCAGUCUGCAACUCGACUGCGUGAAGUCGGAAUCGCUAGUAAUCGCGGAUCAGAAUGCCGCGGUGAAUACGUUCCCGGGCCUUGUACACACCGCCCGUCACACCAUGGGAGUUUGUUGCACCAGAAGUAGGUAGUCUAACCGCAAGGAGGACGCUUACCACGGUGUGGCCGAUGACUGGGGUGAAGUCGUAACAAGGUAAGCGUAGAUGA
Molecule: ribosomal RNA, 532 nt
Filed under: uncultured bacterium
Lineage: Bacteria
Description: bacterial SSU rRNA
Rfam family: Bacterial small subunit ribosomal RNA
Source: RNAcentral